GUGACUUGCACUUGGGGUGUCAGAAGACACAUGUAUCACACGAAUUGUUUUUUAGUCUUAUGUGCUCGACAAGUAGUACAUCUGUGCUUAGAUAACAUAGGCCUGUGGUGGAAUCAGAGGCAACUUGUCGAACAUGCCUGAGAUUCCUGCCCUGCUGCCAGAGAAUAUCAAAGCACAGUGGAAAACUGUGCCUGCUUGAAUCCCUGGUACACAGGCGAGAACAGCAGGUUUGAGCUCUGUCUCUCACUAGCAAGGACUCCCUCACUAACAAGGAAAAACUCUUCAGUAAGGACUCUCAGUCUCCUUGGUGCCUGCAUUCCCCACUUGCAUGCCUCUGCCUGGAUGCUGCUUCGGAGAUCCCCUGGUCGGUGAGAUAAGAAGCUGCAGCACAGAAAGAGAUCUGCGUCAGAGAAGAAAGAGAUCUGCUGCAGUGAAGCUGUGCUGGGGUCAGAAAUAGCACAUGCAGAUCUGACACCUGACGUAGUCACUUCCCUCCCACCCCACUCACUCUGUCCUUGGAAGGGGUGCAGAAGAGCUGCCUUCUGCUGCGGGGAUGCGACAGGUUCCGGCGAACAACAAUCCAGUGUAUUUACUCAUGUCACUGGCUGCAUGCAUGGUGGUUGUGAGUUCAGUAAGGGAGGAUUUCUCCCUGGAAACCAAAUGCUGGGCCCAGGCUCAAGAUCCUGAAAGACUUGCAUUUGCACUCGUGACCACUGUUUCCAUGGACUAAGGAAGGUUUGAAGACUACUGAGAGCUGCUGAAAGUGCUGUUCUGGUUCCUGGUGAAUGAACUUGAGGACUAAACUUCCUGUGAUCCAGGCAGUCCUGUACGAUUUGUGCUCAGCACAGAAAGUGUGCAAUUGCAGAGUGGCAUAAUGGGGCAAAGACAGGCAGGAAAGAUUAAGGACACCACAACCUGUGGGACUGUUUCCCCUGGCAUUGCCACCCUUGCUCCUUGUGACUACAGAACUGGUAGUUCAUUGCUCUGAUCCAGUCCCUCUCCUCUUAAAACAUCCUCAGCUUCUGCCUCUCACAUCUGACCAAGUAAUCUAUGGGCCUCAAUGCAUCUUUCAAAGCAGAGACACUUGCUUAAUUUUAUGCUUUGCCAGAGCCAAGUUACCUUUGAGGUGAUCCAUGUGAGUCAGCACCUGUCGCUAGUUUUCUAAAUCCCAUAAGCAGCAAGGAAACAAGUCAUAGUACUGCACCCAUAGGUAUUGGUGGCCUAAAAGGAUGAGCAGCACCUUAUUCUCCUCUGCUCCAUGUUACUGUCCUUGAUAUCACACCAUGUCCUCGGCCUGGGUGUCCGGUCUCUCAGGUGCAGGUCAGGAGCUGUGGAGAAGUCGCCAGAGGAUGAUUCUCACACGCUACAUGUGAACACGGGCUUCACAGCAGUCUGGGCUCACCAACUGAGAACAAGUGGUGCCUUUAUGUCUCACCACUGGUAAAUUAAAUGCCACAGCAAAAAGAAAGGUCAAUGGAAUGAGAAAAAGAAGGAAAGUUGCAUAAAAUACUAUCAGAAAUCAAACCUAUGGCUUCCUUUAUAUAGGAGAUUAACUGCCUGCUUCAAUUCAUGCUCAGAUGACUCCCUGUUUUCAAAAAUGAGCGACAAAGUAAGCAGGUACCCCAAUUCAGCUUUUAUGAUUCAUAUCCUGGAACACUGGAAGUAUUUUAUUCCUUCCACCCUUCCUUCCUAGCUAGUGUUGAGGCCAAGGAAAUAGCAAUUGUCUUUUUUCUCUCCUUUCCAGAGUCAAACUAACAGAUGAAUCUGGACAAGAGGAGAAAGGUAGUUAGCUAGAGAUAUAGACUGGGGUCGUAUUUAGUGAGUGGAAUCAGAAGUAUAGAGACUUAAGCCUAUCAAUAUAUUUCCAGAGACCUGUGUAAUAAUAGCAAUUGAGAGCUUUUAUAGCUACACAAAUCUGUCAAACACCACUUCAGCGAUAUUUCAGCAGGGAAUUGGGCAAAAACGCUUUUUACAGAGAGUUAGGGGAGUUCUGUCACACCUGAUCUAUUUGAUAAUGUUGCUACAGCACCUCUGUGCCCAAGGUAGAAAAGGGAGUGCUAUCAGGCAAACCUAAGCUAAAGUACAAAAGACAGUGACUCUUCUGAGGCAGCCAGAAACCCCUCCCUGAAAGCACACUUUUGAUGGUAGUGUAGGGCGAGGAAACCAGACUUGGCAAGAAGCAGAGCUGGGUGAUGCAGAGGCUCAAGCUACCAAAAAAAAAAUAUAUAUAAAAAAAUCUCUGAAGCAGAAGAAAUUUCCUUUUUCAAAAUGAUAAAUUCAUACUUAUAUUGAAAAAAAGCGCUACCUUGAAAACAGAACCUAAUUAUUCCAGCCACCAGCAUAGAACUGAGGACUUAAAGACCCUACAAAAAACCAGAGUAGCAUGUUUUAUUUAUAAGAAAGCCAUACUAAGAUUGUUUAUUACUUUCACUCCUGAGCUGUUAUGAGAAAGCUGAGGUUUUAUUCACACUGCAUAUAUUUGUAACACACAAUGGAAUUAAGAAAUUCUACAAAAACCAGAUUACAGUUUUUAAAACAUUGCUUUAACUUGGACACACUAAGGGUCUCACCUAAUUUGCAUGCAUAUAUAGUCAUAUUUUAUUUAAAAUGUACAUCUUUUUGUAUUUGCCUUUUCUUUUUUCUUUCCUUGCUAGUGGAACAGAAAUGGAUUGAGUUGACUACAACUAAAGCAUUGUGGGGGCCAUGGGGAUUCCUUUUUCUUAUUCUGGUCUUCACCUUUCUCUUCUCUUGAAUGAGGGUACAACUGGGCUGCCCUUUAGGAUGACUCAGCUUCAAUAUCCCACAGCAGACAGCUGCCAAUUUAGGUUUGUACUUGCUUAUCCCAGACUUUCUGCUUCCUAAAUUAAACUCUGCUUAGGUCAAAAAUAAACUGGCUGACCAGUCAGUGACCUUGCUUAGAUCCAUGUUUAGCUUUUGAAUUGCUAAUAGCCAUCUACACAAAAUACACCUCUUAAGAGGUGCCAGGGCAUUUACUAAUCUUUGUUCCCACACAUAUUCCCAGACAAAGUGACAGCUGCACAGCAAGUACAUCCGUUAUCUGGUUACCAAUUAUGCUCAGCAUGCAAAAAAUAUCCAGAAAUUGCCAGUGAUACCAUUUUUGACCUGUGCACUCUCCCUGUGCUUGCAGUCUACUUUACCAAGUAAAUUUAAUGGACUAACAAUGACAUCUAGAAAGAAAAAAAAAAACAAAACCACAACAAUAUGAAAACUGAGAACCUAAAAAAACCUUGCUUUGCCGAGCCAAGUGGUUAUGACUUGCUUAUCGCAAGUCCUUCCAGUGCUUGACCAGAAUAUAUUGGGUGGACAACACUAAGGGGUUUAAUUCCUAGUAAAACUCUGCUUAUCAUGCUUUGCCCUCAAUACUUGUAAAGGCACCCCCAGCAUACCUACUGCCCCAGCUCCAAUCCUGAUGAAAACCAGAUGGAACCCAAAGCACUUCGAGCAAUGAAUAAGGCAAGAACCUGAAAAAUUGUUGCAGAUGAGAGAAAGAAAGAUACUUUGGAAUCUGGAAGAGUAAAAGAGACAUUAUCUCUACUCUUAGCUUGCCCAGGAAAAAACUUGAAUUAACAUAAUCAAGAACUACAUAGACAGGAUGACCUGGAAAAAAGCAAGACCAAUUUAGUUCUUUUUCAGCUCUCCCACAACAGAGUUCAUCCUGGCAUAAAGUUUUAGAUAUCCUAAAUGCUGGUAAAUGUCUUGUUACCAAAUAAAAUUUGCUGUUUCCAGGAAAAGCACAUAUAAGAUUUCAAGUCAAGUCUUAUUUUCAAAAAAACCUCACAAAAACACUUACUAAGAUUGUGGCCCCUAUUCGGGUUGUAAUUUUUCAUGCAUUCUGAUCACAUGGCUGUUGUUAUAAAUGAAAUAUCUACCAUGACUUCUGUUCUCCACAUUUAUUCCAAAUAUUUGAUAGCACUUCUUUAGCUUUCUUCAUUUUCUAGAUAGUGAAAAAUAA
Long non-coding RNA from Calidris pugnax (ruff), 3973 nucleotides. RefSeq lists it as uncharacterized. Lineage: Eukaryota; Metazoa; Chordata; Aves; Charadriiformes; Scolopacidae. The record is from RefSeq and is a predicted model, not a curated record. The transcript has 4 exons.